GAAUAUGAAACAUUUAAAAUGUAAUUAGUUUCGACCUAAUAAAAAAUGAUAAAAUUCAUUCUUAUUCU
This 68-nucleotide transfer RNA is filed under the name Thienemanniella majuscula. Its description in RNAcentral is "tRNA-Arg". The record is from RNAcentral. Lineage: Eukaryota; Metazoa; Arthropoda; Insecta; Diptera; Chironomidae.